UAUAUAGUUUAUUAAAACAUUACAUUUUCACUGUACAAAUAGAUAACUUAUAUCUUAUA
This 59-nucleotide transfer RNA is filed under the name Ceraclea indistincta. RNAcentral describes it as "tRNA-Glu". Lineage: Eukaryota; Metazoa; Arthropoda; Insecta; Trichoptera; Leptoceridae. The record is from RNAcentral.